Long non-coding RNA from Planococcus citri (citrus mealybug), 782 nucleotides. RefSeq lists it as uncharacterized. The transcript is spliced from 2 exons. The record is from RefSeq and is a predicted model, not a curated record. Lineage: Eukaryota; Metazoa; Arthropoda; Insecta; Hemiptera; Pseudococcidae.
AUUCUCAGAAACGAAAUACUUUUCGCCAUUCUAUUAUCUAAUCGGUUACUUAAACAACGUAAGUAACUUCCUUUACAUAGCUACCUAGCUACCUUACCUACAUAGUUUUCCUAAAACAUGCACAUAUCAUAUCUGAAAAAGAGAUUAGUUUAUCAAUUUUGCACCAUUAAUAUUGAUUGGUGUCUCGAGUUCGACUGAAAACCGAAUUUAUUGCUCAAAAAAAAGAAUACCUAACGUUCAAGUACUUAGAACGAUUGCCACAGAAAAAGUCGAUUCGUCGAGACAUAAACGUGUAUUUUUUUCAAGUUUUCGAAAAAAAAGAACAAAAGGUGCCAAAAUGUCACGACAGACGCAAAUUUUAUUUCUCAUUGGUGUAAUCUUAUGUGCGACCUUUGUAGCCGAAGUUUCCGCGAAAAAAAAACCUUUCAAGUAUAAACCUGGUCCUAUUGCUAAACAAAUAGGUGUUUACUUGUAUUACUACAACGGAUUCUUAGGACAACAAUUUGAGGGAAAGAUUCCAGCCAUCGCGAAUUAUUUCUUUGCAAGGCAAGCCUUUUGGUUGAAAUUCGUGAACUCGUAAUCAAUCAGAAAAAUCACCAGAAAUGAACCAAAUAGGAAAACUUAUACUUAAUUAAGCCCACUUACGUACAAUUUUUUUUUUCAUUUGAAAAUUAAUAUUUGUUUAGUUUCUAUAAUAAGUACAUUUAUUUAAAGUUAACUAAAAUUAAAUUAAUUCUGUCAAAUUGAGAUUUAAAAAUAAAUUAUUCAAUAGCAGCUUUCAA